GGGUUGUGAGGUUAAGCGACUAAGCGUACACGGUGGAUGCCCUGGCAGUCAGAGGCGAUGAAGGACGUGCUAAUCUGCGAUAAGCGCCGGUAAGGUGAUAUGAACCGUUAUAACCGGCGAUUUCCGAAUGGGGAAACCCAGUGUGACUCGUCACACUAUCAUUAACUGAAUCCAUAGGUUAAUGAGGCGAACCGGGGGAACUGAAACAUCUAAGUACCCCGAGGAAAAGAAAUCAACCGAGAUUCCCCCAGUAGCGGCGAGCGAACGGGGAGGAGCCCAGAGCCUGAAUCAGCAUGUGUGUUAGUGGAAGCGUCUGGAAAGGCGCGCGAUACAGGGUGACAGCCCCGUACACAAAAGCGCACAUGCUGUGAGCUCGAUGAGUAGGGCGGGACACGUGGUAUCCUGUCUGAAUAUGGGGGGACCAUCCUCCAAGGCUAAAUACUCCUGACUGACCGAUAGUGAACCAGUACCGUGAGGGAAAGGCGAAAAGAACCCCGGCGAGGGGAGUGAAAAAGAACCUGAAACCGUGUACGUACAAGCAGUGGGAGCCCCACCACUAAGCCAGUGGUGAACUCCACAUACGCAUCCUUUGCUGAGGAUACGGUUAACGGAGCGAAAGCGAUGUUCAACCGCAAAAGAAGCAGAGGGGGCUUAGUGGUGGGGUGACUGCGUACCUUUUGUAUAAUGGGUCAGCGACUUAUAUUCUGUAGCAAGGUUAACCGAAUAGGGGAGCCGGAGGGAAACCGAGUCUUAAUUGGGCGUUAAGUUGCAGGGUAUAGACCCGAAACCCGGUGAUCUAGCCAUGGGCAGGUUGAAGGUUGGGUAACACUAACUGGAGGACCGAACCGACUAAUGUUGAAAAAUUAGCGGAUGACCUGUGGCUGGGGGUGAAAGGCCAAUCAAACCGGGAGAUAGCUGGUUCUCCCCGAAAGCUAUUUAGGUAGCGCCUCGUGAAUUCAUCUCCGGGGGUAGAGCACUGUUUCGGCUAGGGGGCCAUCCCGGCUUACCAACCCGAUGCAAACUGCGAAUACCGGAGAAUGUUAUCACGGGAGACACACGGCGGGUGCUAACGUCCGUCGUGAAGAGGGAAACAACCCAGACCGCCAGCUAAGGUCCCAAAGUCAUGGUUAAGUGGGAAACGAUGUGGGAAGGCCCAGACAGCCAGGAUGUUGGCUUAGAAGCAGCCAUCAUUUAAAGAAAGCGUAAUAGCUCACUGGUCGAGUCGGCCUGCGCGGAAGAUGUAACGGGGCUAAACCAUGCACCGAAGCUGCGGCAGCGACACUCAGGUGUUGUUGGGUAGGGGAGCGUUCUGUAAGCCUGUGAAGGUGGCCUGUGAGGGUUGCUGGAGGUAUCAGAAGUGCGAAUGCUGACAUAAGUAACGAUAAAGCGGGUGAAAAGCCCGCUCGCCGGAAGACCAAGGGUUCCUGUCCAACGUUAAUCGGGGCAGGGUGAGUCGACCCCUAAGGCGAGGCCGAAAGGCGUAGUCGAUGGGAAACGGGUUAAUAUUCCCGUACUUGGUGUUACUGCGAAGGGGGGACGGAGAAGGCUAUGUUGGCCGGGCGACGGUUGUCCCGGUUUAAGCGUGUAGGUGUGUGUUCCAGGUAAAUCCGGUUCACUUUAACACUGAGGCGUGAUGACGAGGCACUACGGUGCUGAAGCAACAAAUGCCCUGCUUCCAGGAAAAGCCUCUAAGCAUCAGGUAACAUCAAAUCGUACCCCAAACCGACACAGGUGGUCAGGUAGAGAAUACCAAGGCGCUUGAGAGAACUCGGGUGAAGGAACUAGGCAAAAUGGUGCCGUAACUUCGGGAGAAGGCACGCUGACACGUAGGUGAAGUGAUUUACUCAUGGAGCUGAAGUCAGUCGAAGAUACCAGCUGGCUGCAACUGUUUAUUAAAAACACAGCACUGUGCAAACACGAAAGUGGACGUAUACGGUGUGACGCCUGCCCGGUGCCGGAAGGUUAAUUGAUGGGGUCAGCGCAAGCGAAGCUCCUGAUCGAAGCCCCGGUAAACGGCGGCCGUAACUAUAACGGUCCUAAGGUAGCGAAAUUCCUUGUCGGGUAAGUUCCGACCUGCACGAAUGGCGUAAUGAUGGCCAGGCUGUCUCCACCCGAGACUCAGUGAAAUUGAACUCGCUGUGAAGAUGCAGUGUACCCGCGGCAAGACGGAAAGACCCCGUGAACCUUUACUAUAGCUUGACACUGAACAUUGAGCCUUGAUGUGUAGGAUAGGUGGGAGGCUUUGAAGUGUGGACGCCAGUCUGCAUGGAGCCGACCUUGAAAUACCACCCUUUAAUGUUUGAUGUUCUAACGUGGACCCGUAAUCCGGGUUGCGGACAGUGUCUGGUGGGUAGUUUGACUGGGGCGGUCUCCUCCUAAAGAGUAACGGAGGAGCACGAAGGUUGGCUAAUCCUGGUCGGACAUCAGGAGGUUAGUGCAAUGGCAUAAGCCAGCUUGACUGCGAGCGUGACGGCGCGAGCAGGUGCGAAAGCAGGUCAUAGUGAUCCGGUGGUUCUGAAUGGAAGGGCCAUCGCUCAACGGAUAAAAGGUACUCCGGGGAUAACAGGCUGAUACCGCCCAAGAGUUCAUAUCGACGGCGGUGUUUGGCACCUCGAUGUCGGCUCAUCACAUCCUGGGGCUGAAGUAGGUCCCAAGGGUAUGGCUGUUCGCCAUUUAAAGUGGUACGCGAGCUGGGUUUAGAACGUCGUGAGACAGUUCGGUCCCUAUCUGCCGUGGGCGCUGGAGAACUGAGGGGGGCUGCUCCUAGUACGAGAGGACCGGAGUGGACGCAUCACUGGUGUUCGGGUUGUCAUGCCAAUGGCACUGCCCGGUAGCUAAAUGCGGAAGAGAUAAGUGCUGAAAGCAUCUAAGCACGAAACUUGCCCCGAGAUGAGUUCUCCCUGAGACUUAGAGUCUCCUGAAGGAACGUUGAAGACGACGACGUUGAUAGGCCGGGUGUGUAAGCGCAGCGAUGCGUUGAGCUAACCGGUACUAAUGAACCGUGAGGCUUAACCUUACAACGCCGAAG
This 3028-nucleotide ribosomal RNA is filed under the name Salmonella enterica. RNAcentral's name for it is "23S ribosomal RNA". It matches the Rfam family "Bacterial large subunit ribosomal RNA". The record is from RNAcentral. Lineage: Bacteria; Pseudomonadati; Pseudomonadota; Gammaproteobacteria; Enterobacterales; Enterobacteriaceae.